GCGGGAGAACCGAGGGCCGGGGGGAGAACGAAAGACGGGGGAAAAAAGGGCGAGACGUGGCGGAGAAACAAAAUCAACAUGGAAGUUGCCUUUUCUCCAUUCAAGUUUCCUCCGCUGCCCUCCCAACCCUCCACUUCUUACAUAACUCACCUUCGGGCGGACCGGAGGAAUUCUUAUUUCAUUGUUCCCAGCAUCUUCUGGGACCGGGACGCGGCUCCUUGAGGUGCUCCAGCCUCCUGCAGUCCUCUAUCCAAAAGGAGGCGAGAGUGGCAUCUCUACCCAGCAAAGGGGGUACCAGCUCUGCUGCCAGUGCCAUAUGGUUGGCACGUCAUGCGCGAGAGCUAUCACAUGAGAGCUAAUGAUUGACAUGCGCUUGCAUUCAGGGAGAUUUGUCUCUCUGGGGAAGGAGGACUCGCCAUCUGUCACUCUGUACUCAAAAAAAAAAAAAAAAACAAAAAAACCCACAAAAAAAAAAAAAAAAAAAGAAAAACCACCACACAACCCUUCUUCCAAAUCUACAGCUCUGCCUACACGCCGCAAAAUGGGACCCGGGCGAGAUGCAGGCGAUGGCGGGGCCGGGCUGAACAAUGGAGCCAGCGGCAGGGCGGCGGGGGAGACCGGCCAUCCCGGCCAGGCCGAGCGUGUCAGGGGCAGGCGGCGGGCACCGGGGCGAGGGGGGAGACGCCGCGGGGGACCUUGGCUGGGAGCUGGCAUCUGCGGCUCGCCGCAAAAUACCGCGGCGGCUCGCCCGGGUUCCGUCCCCACCCUCAGCCACCAGCCCAGCGGGGACGGAUGCGGCGCUGAGGGCCUGGCGCGGGCUGGGGGCUGCGGGCGGGCAGGGCCUGGGGGAGCUGGUGGUGGUGGUGCCCAGUUUGGUGGCACCGGCACGGGCAGGGGGGCUGCCGGAGCGGGUGUGGGCAGAGCUGGGGUCUGCGGGGCCGUGGGUCCCCGUGUGGGUGGCACGUGGCCCCUAUGGUUGCCCGCCGCCCCAUGGCACCCCCUCGGUGUGCCACCCCAGCCUCUCUCCGCAGCCCGGCGCGCACAGAGGCAGCCAGCCUUGGGCACACUCCUACGUGCACACACGCGCACACUUGCACACACAUGCACACGCGCGGCCUCCUCUGCACACGCAGUGGGGGGGGGGGGGGUGUCAAACCCCCCACGGAUGCGUGUCCCAGGGUGGCGGUGGCCCUGCCAUGCUGUGGCACCGCCGGCGAGGCCUUUGUCUGCCAGGCGCCUCCUUGCCUGCCGCAGCCCCACGCCGUGGCCCGGCAGCGCCCCGUCACCCCCCGGCCUCCAAAUCUGUCCCCGUCACAGGGCACGUGCAGCCAGGAAUCACGGUUGCCAUUUCCCGUGUGCCUGCAAACCGGCAGCGGGCAACCACGGGGGCGAGGAACCCCGGGAAGGGGUGCGUUGUGGCCCCGGGAGCCCACCCGGUGACCCGUUCCCGGCUGCAGCCAUCGGGGUUGAGCCACGGGAUGUCCCCGUGUCCUCCACCCCCUCUGUCCCCACAAAC
Molecule: long non-coding RNA, 1516 nt
Filed under: Calidris pygmaea (Spoon-billed sandpiper)
Lineage: Eukaryota; Metazoa; Chordata; Aves; Charadriiformes; Scolopacidae
Description: lncRNA (ENSCPGG00000013106.1)
Source: RNAcentral